This 2701-nucleotide long non-coding RNA is filed under the name Brassica rapa (field mustard). Its description in RNAcentral is "long non-coding RNA (BRAP_LNC007804)". Lineage: Eukaryota; Viridiplantae; Streptophyta; Magnoliopsida; Brassicales; Brassicaceae. The record is from RNAcentral.
AAAGAUCCGGCGGCGCUUCUUAUUGACUGGGGUUGUUUUACAACGGUAAAGAUCUUGACAUCAAUCAAUCAUUUUGCUUAAAUGUAACACAUUUUGCUUUUAAUUUCAAUAUAAAAAAUAGGAUUUUUAUCCAUUAAUUUUGAGAUCGCUAUAUUUCUGCUUGAAUCUGUUUCACAUUGCAAAAAUGACCUUUUUGUAUGAACAAUCCGUAUAUAUAUUUAUGUCUUUGAUCUCUCAUUUCUCCUGCAGAAGGUUGUCGGAAUCUGAUGGAGAAUAGCUUAGAUCAACCCGUUCCGAAUGAAGCAAUGUUCGAAACCAUCGAGCAGAGGCUUUAGGAACCCUAGUGAGGUUGUUCUUGUAGUCCACAUAGUAUAUCCCGAACCGGACAGUGUAACCAGAGUUCCACUCCCAGUUGUCUAGCAAUGACCACACGAAGUACCCUCUUACAUCACAACCAUCCUUCCUGCAAUACCCCAACCCAAACAGUUUAUAAAUUCCUUUAUUUUCUCAGGUUUGUAAAGUUUUAUUAUUACCUAAUGCCAGCUGAUAAGUUGGAGAGGUAAUCUCUGUGGAAGCUAAUCCUCUUGUCGUCUUGUAAUGCUUUCUCCAUGUCUAUGAAUGGGUUGUUCUUCUCAUCCAUACCGUUUUCUGUGAUGAAGACAGGAGGGUUUCCGUAGACGUCUUUGAGAUACACUGCUAGUUUCCUGAUUCCCCAUGGGACUAUGUGUAGCCAGCUUGAUCCUGCCUAAUGUCAUUGUCAAGUAAAUGUUUCUCUUCAUCAGAACUAUUGCUUAGUAUGGAAGGAGUAGUGAACAGAGAAAUCACAUACUUUUUCUCCUAUAGGCACUCCUCCUCGAAAUGCUACAACAGUUAACAAAAGAGUAGAAACAUCAGUUUACUACUUUUGUUUUCUAGCAGUAAUGAGAUAUGAUAUGAGAGCUAGUCUCUGUGUGUGUGUGGAUCUUACAGCUAGUGAUCACUGCUGCAUCAGAAGAAGCAUCUUGUAGAAUCAGUUUCCUUAUCCUUGUUCUGUCGUUCCUUGUGUACAGUGUCGUGUAGUGGUUGAUUCCAAAGAAGUCAAAUGCCCCUUUUAUGGUUUUGGACAUCUCUGCUGUUAUCUCUGGUAGUCUCUCUUCCACUAGUCUCUUCAUUGAAGCUGGAUAGUCUCCGUUUAUUAGAGGAUCCAUAAACCUAUUUUUACAUCUCAUUCUGUCACACUUCUGUUUACUUACUUUCUCUUAUGCAAAUUUUCAUAUACAAAAACGAUCUUUAUUAUUUUACCAUCCGAUCCCAAAAUCCAUUGCUCUACGAGCUGCAUCUCUGUCCUCAUCACAAUCAGACAUUGGCUCAAACCAUUUUGCAUCUAACGACAUCCCUAUUCGACCACCUUGUUUCUUCUGCAUUUUUACAUUAUUCCCACUUUAUAUUAUGUGGACCUAACAUGUUCAUUUUUUUUAUAUCUGUGGUCUUACCUUGAAGUGUCUCUGGUAGGUGUGGUAAGCAGCAGCAUGAGACAAGAGAAUGUUAUGAGCUACAACAUACGGUUCGACAGAUGACUUCCCUUCCUUACAGAACCAAUGUCCCAGAAGUGAGCACCUCCCUGGAGCCUGUAUCCCUGUGUCAUAGCCUUGGAUCGUUAGCCCGCGUGGCUCAUUGAAAGUGAUCCAGUACUUCACUCUAUCUCCGAACGCUUUGAAACAAGUGAAUGCAUAACGCUCAAAAUCAUCCCUGCACACUUUUCUUAGCAUUUCAUUUUGUCUUCAUGAUCACAUUUUCAGCCAAAGAUGAUAUACUUACACGACUUGUCUGCUCAGCCAUCCUUCAUAUCUGUCUUCUAAAGCUUGUGGGAGAUCCCAGUGAUACAAUGUCACAUAAGGUUUGAUUCCUUUGGCUAAAAGCGUGUCUAUGAGAGUGUUGUAGUACUUAAGUCCAUCUGGGUUUACUUCCCCUGUUCCAUCUGUUCAAACGUUUGAAACUCAGUGAUACACUACUCUUAGGCUUAGCACAGCUUAAUGAAUUAGACUUACUAGGGAAUAUUCUAGUCCAAGAUAUAGAGAAUCUGUAAGCAUCCAUUCCCAGAUCUUUCAUAAGAUCUAUAUCACUCUGUGAAAGCAAAAAAAAAUCAGAAAAAGUGUUCUUGCUUGUUAGAUUCUCUCAUUUAUUUAUCCUGUUGCGUCUUAUCUCAGAUUUGUUUGGACGUGGUUGCUCUAUGGAGAAGCAACCUUACUUUUUUUUUAUCUUCAAGUAUAAGUCAACUUAUGCUUCUAUUUUAGGAAAAACAUACAUACAUGGAAUCUAUGAUAUUGAUCAACCGUAGUAUCCGCAUUGCUGAAAUCCAAUAUCUUUCCUGUUGAUCAAUAACAAAUAAACAUUAAAAUUGGACUUUUCUGGGUUCUCUGUAACUUUUUGUUUGAUACCUGGUUUCUUGGUGAAAGUGUCCCAUAUGCUAUCUCCUUUGUUUCCUUCAUUCACAGCUCCUUCAAACUGGUUUAUUGCAAGUAAGUGUUUGUGGUUUGAUCAAAAUAUUGAUCAUUUGAAUCUUUCUUAAAUCAGUUUGUUGAAGAAGGAGAAGAAUGUCACCUGGUAAGCUGAAGAAGCUGUCCCGAACACAAACCCAUCUGGAAAACUCUCUCUGGUAAUAGAUUCCGAUGAAACUUGCUGACGAGACGCGAUGAAGACCAGAUACAGAACCAGGACGAGU